Molecule: long non-coding RNA, 1213 nt
Filed under: Pogona vitticeps (central bearded dragon)
Lineage: Eukaryota; Metazoa; Chordata; Lepidosauria; Squamata; Agamidae
Description: lncRNA (ENSPVIG00000023027.1)
Source: RNAcentral
CCUCUAUUAUUUAUUCUGUAAAGUAUGGGAACUGAACCUCAAAAGAAGGUUUUUGUCAGUUUGACAAUGCAUAGUAAAAUAAUUGCCUUUUAAAUUCAUUCCUUAGAAGAAGCAAAAAGAAGAAAAGAAGUUCCAGAAAAGAAAGCUAUUCAUGAAGUUAAAACAAAAGGUACUACCUUAUUUUAAAAUGUGGCAGUUAAUUUACCCACUCUUCAGAGACCUCUGCCUAUUAUAAUUCCUAAAGAAAUAGAAAUAAAAAUAAUUUAUGGUUCGUGUCUUAGAAGCAGAAGAAAGAAAAAAGGUAACUCACAAGAAGAAAAUUAUUCCUGAAAUUAAAGGGAAAGCUUUGGAACAGGAAAAGAAGGUAACCCAAGAGAAGAAAGCUAUUUCUGAAACAAAAAUUAAAGGGGGAAAAGAAGAAAGAAAGAAAGCUCUUGAGAAAACAGCUGUCCCUGAAGUUAAAAAGGCAGAACCAGAAAAAGCUCCUGCAGCCCAUCCAGCUUCUGUGAAGGUAGCUGUGCGAGAACCAUUCAAGAAAGAAAAGCCAGUCGAAAGAGCCAAGCAGCCAGUGAAGGAUGUGCCUGUAAAAGCAUCAGUUACACAAGAAACUCAUAAACCAAAAGAAACAGAACUAACCAAAAUAGAACCUGCUGCCCAUUUGACUAAAAAAGCAGUACAUGAAAAGAAAGAAGACAGAUUAUUAAAGGCAGUGGAGCAAGACAAACCAAAAUCCAAAGAAACAAAAGAUAUCAGAGGGAAAGAAGCAAAACAUGUGGCACCAAAAGUCAAAGAGGCAGUAAAACCAAAGGAAGUAAAGCCUACCAUUCCCCAGAAGCAGAAAGGACAAGAGGUUCUUAAGCACGACAAAGGAGCUCCUCAAGGAAAGCCAGAAGAAAUCACAGUAGCAGAUAAGAAAAAAGCAGAAAAGCCUUUGAAGGAAAAAGACAGAAAAAUGGCAGCGGUGACUCAUUUGAAAGAAGAAAAAGCCAAGGUCCCAGCAGUAAAAGAAUCCCAUCACCAUCGUAACAUGACAACAGACAAGCUUUCAAAGGCUUCAAAAGCAACAGCUGCUGUCCGCUACUAUCAGUGUGUCUUUGUAAAUGGAUACAAUGACUACAAACCGCAACACCCUGUUACCCCUGCCCAGGACUACAAAGGAAAGGCCGGGCAGACAAAAAAUUCUGGGCACAAGAUCAAGACACUGAAACAAUAG